This 215-nucleotide non-coding RNA is filed under the name Manganibacter manganicus. Lineage: Bacteria; Pseudomonadati; Pseudomonadota; Alphaproteobacteria; Hyphomicrobiales; Phyllobacteriaceae. The record is from RNAcentral.
GGAAGGUGAAGAUGCCUAGGUUCCUCGCUCGUUGUGUGCAACGUGCCGGGGCUAAGAGGGAAGUCGGUGCCCCGCCUCAUUCGGGAAAGCCGGAGCUGCCCCCGCAACUGUAAGCGGCGAGCUGACGUUCAUCAUGUCACUGGGGUGAGCCCUGGGAAGGCGGACGGAAGCGAUGACCCGCGAGCCAGGAGACCUGCCUUGGCGAAAAACGUCCA